UCGGGACAGGCCCCGCCUCAUGAUAAGAUACUAUACAAUGCAAAAAGAUAUGAUAAGACUCAAAGCCCCGAAGCAACCUGGAGCUCAGUGACUGCGGUUGAUAUCCUGUACUCUUACUAGGGAGGUUUAUUAGCUUCUGUACCUGCAGCAUGGAAUGCAGGUCCCCCAAGAGGGACGUCAGUACGAAAUAAUGUACUGAAUAUGUAAGGCAACAUGUACUAUAUAUGAGAUAAAAACUCAAAUGAAACCAUGUACUGUUGUAGGGUAAAAGACCACCUUUAUGAAUAUUGUGGAGUCAUGUAUCUUAUAACAAUUAUGUUACUUUACUCUUAUUACUUGAAUAAUCUGUGCACAGCAUGUAAUACAAAUGACCAGCUGAUCAGUGGUAAUUCUAUAUCAGGAUCGACCCAUGCUAGGCUUUCCUUUCACCCCUGGGAUACCCCCUGUAAUACUGGGAUUGACCCAUGCUAGGUGAUUCUUUCACCCCUGGGAUACCACCCAACAGAAGCAACUGUAUACAUAUAUCUUCUUAUUACUUUUGAGAUGAAUCUUUGGUGGUCGUAACAUUUGAGCUAUAAGACUAUAAGCAUGACAAAUGAC
This 600-nucleotide long non-coding RNA is filed under the name Capsicum annuum. Its description in RNAcentral is "long non-coding RNA (CANN_LNC016762)". The record is from RNAcentral. Lineage: Eukaryota; Viridiplantae; Streptophyta; Magnoliopsida; Solanales; Solanaceae.